UUUGGAAUAUUCCACAAUGGGCGAAAGCCUGAUGGAGCGACACCGCGUGAAGGACGAAGGUCUUCGGAUUGUAAACUUCUUUAGACCUAGAUGAAGGCUGCAGGGUGAAUAAUCCUGCAGUUUGACAGUAUAGGUAGAAUAAGCCACGGCUAACUCUGUGCCAGCAGCCGCGGUAAUACAGAGGUGGCAAACGUUGUCCGGAUUUAUUGGGUGUAAAGGGCAUGUAGGUGGUUUUGUAAGUCAAAGGUGAAAUGGCCCGGCUCAACCAGGUCAUUGCCUUUGAAACUGCAGAGCUUGAGUACGGAAGAGGAAAGCGGAAUUCCCAGUGUAGCGGUGAAAUGCGUAGAUAUUGGGAGGAACACCGGUGGCGAAGGCGGCUUUCUGGUCCGAUACUGACACUGAGAUGCGAAAGCCAGGGGAGCAAACGGGAUUAGAUACCCCCGUAGUCC
Molecule: ribosomal RNA, 449 nt
Filed under: uncultured bacterium
Lineage: Bacteria
Description: bacterial SSU rRNA
Rfam family: Bacterial small subunit ribosomal RNA
Source: RNAcentral